AUACGUAGGUGGCGAGCGUUGUCCGGAUUUACUGGGUGUAAAGGGCGUGUAGGCGGGUUUGUAAGUUGGAUGUGAAAUGCCGCGGCUUAACCGCGGAGCUGCAUCCAAAACUACAGAUCUUGAGUGCCGGAGAGGAAAGCGGAAUUCCUAGUGUAGCGGUGAAAUGCGUAGAUAUUAGGAGGAACACCGGUGGCGAAGGCGGCUUUCUGGACGGUAACUGACGCUGAGGCGCGAAAGCGUGGGGAGCAAACAGGAUUAGAUACCCUGGUAGUCCACGCUGUAAACGAUGGAUACUAGGUGUGGGAGGUAUCGACCCCUUCCGUGCCGGAGUUAACACAAUAAGUAUCCCACCUGGGGAGUACGGCCGCAAGGUUGAAACUCAAAUGAAUUGACGGGG
Molecule: ribosomal RNA, 397 nt
Filed under: uncultured bacterium
Lineage: Bacteria
Description: partial 16S ribosomal RNA
Rfam family: Bacterial small subunit ribosomal RNA
Source: RNAcentral